UACGUAGGGACCAAGCGUUGUUCGGAUUUACUGGGCGUAAAGGGCGCGUAGGCGGCAAUUCAAGUCAGCUGUGAAAUCUCCGGGCUUAACUCGGAACGGUCAGCUGAUACUGCUUUGCUAGAGUGCAGAAGGGGCAAUCGGAAUUCUUGAUGUAGCGGUGAAAUGCGUAGAUAUCAAGAGGAACACCUGAGGUGAAGACGGGUUGCUGGGCUGACACUGACGCUGAGGCGCGAAAGCUAGGGUAGCAAACGGG
Molecule: ribosomal RNA, 253 nt
Filed under: uncultured bacterium
Lineage: Bacteria
Description: partial 16S ribosomal RNA
Rfam family: Bacterial small subunit ribosomal RNA
Source: RNAcentral